UCCCCGCCCCCAUGCGUUGCUCUUUGUCCCAGUGCUGGGAUCAGGUGCUGGCUGAUACAGUGUACCCAGCAGCAGCACAGCCGGGGCCCCGGGGCCACACAGGAGCCGCACUGUGCGGGGGACACGGGGAGCGACUGGAGAACCCCUUUAUCCUCGCAGCUCUACUGCCAGCGUAAGUAAUGUGUAACUAUAUUCUCACGGCGCGAUGCCUGGGGACGCGGACUACCGGCAUGGGAUAUAAGCGCAUUGCUGGAGGAGGGUGUGAACAAUUCUGGAAAGAACAUACAAUACAGAUAACGGCUGCAUCCUGCAGUAAUUCAGGCUGUGGAGCCGCGGGAUGGAAAGUCAUAUCUGCUUUGUUAUAGUAAACUGCAAAUCAUCAUCCGCCCAGUGUUUGCUAGAAAACUUAUUUCUGCCCUUAAGGAAACAGUCAGCAAACUCAAACGCUACUAAAACAAAACAUAGUAUAAAUAUCUGUGGUGAAAAUCGUCGUCGCUAUACGUUGAGUACGUGAACUGAAGACGCACAGAGGCUCAUUCAUCGAGGUGUGGAACGCGCUAUUUCAAGUACAAAUUGGGGGGGGGGGUUAUAAAUAAGCCUUUUUUGUGAUUAUUUUAGAUGACUAUCACCUUUUUUUGUUCCCACAUUACCCUAUAAUUUAGAUUGCAGUUUGAACAUCUGAACACACGCCACCCAAAUCGUAAUCUCUCUGCACAUGUUACAUCUACCCCACCUGCAGUGCAGCAUGGUUUUGUCCAAUUGCUUUCUUUUUUGGUUUGCUAACAAACCUGAAUAACCCCUUAAAUGUGCAUGCAAAGAAUAAAGCACUUUUACUGUAGGUCAUCCGGGUGCAUUAUAUAAAUCACACGGACAUGGCCCAAAUAAUAUACUUUAUAUCAUACACUUGUCGAAGUCGAAAAUAUGACACCUACACUCAGCACGUGCAAACACCACACAGAGUGGCCUCUGUACGUGCACGUGUUCUGCCGUGCGUGCGCAUACCCGCACACUGCGUACAUUGGCUCGCGAAGCCCUACUUAUUAGCGCAUGGUAUGAGUAAAUACAGUAGCAUACGCAUUCACAUAGAAAAGCCACAAAGACAUAUCUGAUAUUUUAUCCACAUAAUACAUAAUAUACACAUAGCCCACACACACCACACCAGCAAGUUACAUUUACUUAGGAAAUAGAACAACAGAGAUAUCCAGCAUUACAGGAUAUGAGGGGACAGAAUUAGGUUAGGACGUGGUGUUUGGUAUCCAGAUGUACAGUAUUUCAAGGGCUACAUUCCGAUCGCAGUUUGCAGAUUAUAGCAUGCUCCUGCACACAGAUAUGUGCAGGAAUACAAUAUUCAUAACUUACUGUAACUACUGUACUCGUGAUAUUCGGCAGGAACCCAGUGGAGGACACCUGCAAGUACACCUGGACCAAGCAUCGCCCACCUAUUCAAACCAACCUAUGACCCCUCAUGUACUGUAAAUGACCUGCCCCUUGACCUAUGGAAGAAGAGCUUACAGUUUCCUUUGUAUUGUGUUUUGGACCAUUGUAUAAAAGCCAGGCCUCCUGGCCAGCCUCAGUCUAAUUCUCUGAAGGUCAUCUUCCUAAGACUGACUGAGGAUCGGAUCCGGGAGGCGCAGGCGAACAAACGUAUGUACUAUUGGUUGUAGCUCUUCUCUUGUGAUAUUGUUGUAUUUCUGUGUAUACCCUAAUAGUAAAUAUUUGUUGCUGCGUUGGACCACAACAUAACAUAUACAA
Molecule: long non-coding RNA, 1752 nt
Organism: Pseudophryne corroboree (corroboree frog)
Lineage: Eukaryota; Metazoa; Chordata; Amphibia; Anura; Myobatrachidae
Exons: 3
Source: RefSeq, a predicted model, not a curated record